RNAcentral lists this long non-coding RNA (502 nucleotides) under Drosophila guanche. The record is from RNAcentral. Lineage: Eukaryota; Metazoa; Arthropoda; Insecta; Diptera; Drosophilidae.
GUGUAGAAAAUAUACAAAAACAAAAAAAAACGUGGUGAAAAUUUUAAAAACCAAUAUAAAAGUGUUGUGGCUGCAAAGACGAAAACUUAAAAACCAACCCCUGGAUAAGGUACGCCAAGAAAAAAAUGAAAAAGUGACCUUAUUACAUAAUUCCAUGUAUGUACUGUACAUAGGUUAUGAUCCACGUGUGGCAGGAAAUUGCUGACCUGGCCUGACCCUCGGUCUCGGAGGGGGGGUCCGCUCCAGUACCACGAUAAUCCGUCCCUCUUUUUGGUGCCACCGGAUCUUGCCUGCAGGCGAAAAAACGGAUGGACUUGGCGAUCGGGACCGAGUUGUUUAUAUACAUAUAUCUCACGCGCAACUAUAAAACCAUCUAUUAUAUUAUAUCACCGCGCCUUGUGUAAAGAAAUGUUGGUGCUUGCAUAUGUAGGGUGUGGAAAAAUUAGCUCAGCGGUUAUUGCCCUUGCGGCUGACCAUACACCUAUGUGCACUUAAAUAGACC